RNAcentral lists this long non-coding RNA (1230 nucleotides) under Musa acuminata (dwarf banana). RNAcentral's name for it is "long non-coding RNA (MACU_LNC006129)". The record is from RNAcentral. Lineage: Eukaryota; Viridiplantae; Streptophyta; Magnoliopsida; Zingiberales; Musaceae.
ACUGCAAGGAGGUUCACUUUUAAAAGCUUCUUUUCACUGCCAUUUAUGUUAGGAUCUUUAGAUUUAUCUGGGAUUUUAUCAAUUUAUGAUAUAUUUAUUAUGCAUUCUCUUGGGAUAAGAUUGAUAGCUCAUAGCUUUUAGUAAUAUGGUGCAGAUAUCUGUGAGCCAAUAUAAAUAGAUAAGUGAUAACAGUAUGAACCAGUUCUUAUUUUUUCCUUUUAAACUUUUUAUCACAAUAAGUGAUAAAUGGAUUAUUUUUAUUAUAAUUUUGUCAUUUUAAGGAUUUUUCUAAUGAUGAUGAAUGUUGUUUCCGCUUUAGGUGUGUAAGACUACCAUGGUAAAACCUUGACUGACAAUUCUUUGCUACCAAAACAUACUGGUACUUCAGACAAAGAGGUGCAACCGAGCCUGGUUUUGCUGAGUUGGAGGUCAACUUUGACCCAUGACAGGUUGGGUCUGGUUGUGGAGGGUUAGGCUGUGAGUUUUACCAGAUAAAAAAUAUGAGGGUAAAUAAAUUUGGUAAUAAACAGAACUUGAAGUUACAGAUAGCAUAAUCACAUAUUGCUAAAUUGGUUAGGUUUGAGUUUGUCAGUCUAAAUUUGGUUGAAUUGGGUUGUGUUGUGGGUCAAUCCUAAUCAAUCCUGAGAUAAUGCUGGGUUGAGAUUGCCCAACCCUAGUUUCACAAAACCCAGUCUGAUGAUUGGAUUGGUUUAAACCCAACCAAGCUGCCGCCCUGUUUUGACAUAAUAUCUUUUUGAUUUUAGUCUUGUCUUAUUACCUCAGCCUCAUCUUUUCCGUGUGGAUAUUUGCAUUUAAUUUAAAUUAUAUUGCACGUGAAAUAACUUUUAUUUUUGCCAUUAAUUAAUUAUUUAGAACAAUCUCUGUACGCUGUUGAAUUUAAAUACUUAUUUUGUAGUGAAUGGCUAGGGAAUUAUGAGCAGAGAAACCUCCCAUGGUUUAUCUUCUUUUAUAGUACAACAUCAUGGAAUGCGUUUAGUUACAAGUUAUCAUCCAUUGGUUUGGGGCAUUUUAUUAAUGAUAAGAAACCAAUAUAAUUUCUUCCAAUGCAGACCAAAACUUUGUCUAGAAACUGACCUGUCAAUCUUCUAGAAUGAUAAUUUUUUUACCAUCUUAGGUGUUGCUUUUAUGGUUCUCCACGGUUGACGAUCUUGUGUAAAUUCCUAUGUCAUACCUUUUGACCGUAUCAGUAUUGUUCGUUCUUAUUGGAUG